This 514-nucleotide ribosomal RNA is filed under the name uncultured Acaulospora. RNAcentral's name for it is "partial 18S ribosomal RNA". Lineage: Eukaryota; Fungi; Glomeromycota; Glomeromycetes; Diversisporales; Acaulosporaceae. The record is from RNAcentral.
AGUCAUUAUAAAAUUAACAUCGUCCGAUCCCUAGUCGGCAUAGUUUAUGGUUAAGACUACGACGGUAUCUGAUCGUCUUCGAUCCCCUAACUUUCGUUCUUGAUUAAUGAAAACAUCCUUGGCAAAUGCUUUCGCAGAAGUUAGUCUUCAAUAAAUCCAAGAAUUUCACCUCUGACAAUUGAAUACUAAUGCCCCCAACUAUCCCUAUUAAUCAUUACGGUGAUCCUAGAAACCAACAAAAUAGAACCAUGCCGUCCUAUUUUAUUAUUCCAUGCUAAUGUAUUCAGGCACUAGCCUGCUUUGAGCACUCUAAUUUUUUCAAGGUAAUAGUCCUGCUUCCCCAACACACCAAAUUAAUGACAUGCUGGUUAUUCAGAAGGUAAGAACCCAUCACAUCAGUACGGACAAUUAAGCCCGACCAACGGACAGAUUCCGAAAUUCAACUACGAGCUUUUUAACUGCAACAACUUUAAUAUACGCUAUUGGAGCUGGAAUUACCGCGGCUGCUGGCACC